CUUGCACCUUUCAAGCGAGUGGCGAACGGGUGAGUAACACGUGGAUAACCUGCCUCAAGGCUGGGGAUAACAUUUGGAAACAGAUGCUAAUACCGAAUAAAACUUAGUAUCGCAUGAUAUAAAGUUAAAAGGCGCUACGGCGUCACCUAGAGAUGGAUCCGCGGUGCAUUAGUUAGUUGGUGGGGUAAAGGCUUACCAAGACAAUGAUGCAUAGCCCGAGUUGAGAGACUGAUCGGCCACAUUGGGACUGAGACACGGCCCAAACUCC
RNAcentral lists this ribosomal RNA (268 nucleotides) under uncultured Leuconostoc sp. RNAcentral describes it as "partial 16S ribosomal RNA". It matches the Rfam family "Bacterial small subunit ribosomal RNA", at positions 79 to 339 of the family's 1533-position model. The record is from RNAcentral. Lineage: Bacteria; Bacillati; Bacillota; Bacilli; Lactobacillales; Lactobacillaceae.